Molecule: non-coding RNA, 74 nt
Organism: Canis lupus familiaris (dog)
Lineage: Eukaryota; Metazoa; Chordata; Mammalia; Carnivora; Canidae
Source: Rfam
ACCUGGCUGGCUCAGUCAGAAGAGCAUGUGACUCUUGAUCUCAGGGGUCGUGAGUUCGAGCCUCAUGUUGGGUG